Molecule: ribosomal RNA, 465 nt
Filed under: uncultured bacterium
Lineage: Bacteria
Description: partial 16S ribosomal RNA
Rfam family: Bacterial small subunit ribosomal RNA
Source: RNAcentral
CCUACGGGAGACAGCAGUGGGGAAUAUUGCGCAAUGGGCGAAAGCCUGACGCAGCGACGCCGCGUGAGGGAUGAAGGUCUUCGGAUCGUAAACCUCUGUCAGCAGGGAAGAACGGUCACUGUGCUAAUCAGCAGUGAAUUGACGGUACCUGCAAAGGAAGCACCGGCUAACUCCGUGCCAGCAGCCGCGGUAAUACGGCGGGGGCGAGCGUUAAUCGGAAUUUCUGGGCGUAAAGCGCUCGUAGGUGGUAUGUCAAGUCAAGUGUGAAAUCCCCGCGCUAAACGUGGGAACUGCCUUUGAAACUGGCAAACUGGAGUGUGUGAGAGGAUAGUGGAAUUCCAGGUGUAGGAGUGAAAUCCGUAGAUAUCUGGAGGAACAUCAGUGGCGAAGGCGACUAUCUGGCACAUAACUGACGCUGAGGAGCGAAAGCGUGGGUAGCAAACAGGAUUAGAUACCCCUGUAGUC